GAUGAAGAACGUAGCGAAAUGCGAUAAGUAAUGUGAAUUGCAGAAUUCAGUGAAUCAUCGAAUCUUUGAACGCACAUUGCGCCCCUUGGUAUUCCGAGGGGCAUGCCUAUUCGAGCGUCAUUAUCACCCCUCAAGCCUAGCUUGGUGUUGAGGCCUGCUGUCAAGGCAGCCUCUAAAAUCAGUGGCAGUGCUGUCAGGCUCUAAGCGUAGUAAAUCUAAUCGCUAUAGACACCUGGUGGACACUCGCCAGAACCCCCCCAUUUUUUAAUGAUUGACCUCGGAUUAGGUAGGGAUACCCGCUGAACUUAAGCAUAUCAAUAACGGAGGA
Molecule: unclassified non-coding RNA, 328 nt
Filed under: soil metagenome
Description: partial contains 5.8S ribosomal RNA, internal transcribed spacer 2, and large subunit ribosomal RNA
Rfam family: 5.8S ribosomal RNA (bases 1-120)
Source: RNAcentral